This 305-nucleotide ribosomal RNA is filed under the name uncultured bacterium. RNAcentral's name for it is "bacterial SSU rRNA". It matches the Rfam family "Bacterial small subunit ribosomal RNA", at positions 335 to 658 of the family's 1533-position model. The record is from RNAcentral.
UCCCCUACGGGGGCAGCAGUGGGGAAUAUUGCACAAUGGGGGAAACCCUGAUGCAGCGACGCCGCGUGAAGGAAGAAGUAUUUCGGUAUGUAAACUUCUAUCAGCAGGGAAGAAAAUGACGGUACCUGACUAAGAAGCCCCGGCUAACUACGUGCCAGCAGCCGCGGUAAUACGUAGGGGGCAAGCGUUAUCCGGAUUUACUGGGUGUAAAGGGAGCGUAGGCGGCGAGGCAAGUCAGAAGUGAAAGCCCGGGGCUCAACUCCGGGACUGCUUUUGAAACUGGGUUGCUAGAUGGCAGGAGAGGG